This 511-nucleotide ribosomal RNA is filed under the name uncultured bacterium. Its description in RNAcentral is "bacterial SSU rRNA". It matches the Rfam family "Bacterial small subunit ribosomal RNA", at positions 16 to 518 of the family's 1533-position model. The record is from RNAcentral.
AUCGUGUCAGGAUGAACGCUAGCUACAGGCUUAACACAUGCAAGUCGAGGGGCAUCAUGGAGUUUGCUUGCAAACUCUGAUGGCGACCGGCGCACGGGUGAGUAACGCGUAUCCAACCUUCCCUAUAGUAGAGGAUAGCCCGGCGAAAGUCGGAUUAAUACUCUAUGUUUUCCGUUGCAGACAUCUAAGAUGGAACAAAGGCUUGCCGCUAUAGGAUGGGGAUGCGUCUGAUUAGGUAGUCGGCGGGGUAACGGCCCACCGAGCCAUCGAUCAGUAGGGGUUCUGAGAGGAAGGUCCCCCACAUUGGAACUGAGCCACGGUCCAAACUCCUACGGGAGGCAGCAGUGAGGAAUAUUGGUCAAUGGGCGAGAGCCUGAACCAGCCAAGUAGCGUGCAGGACGACGGCCCUAUGGGUUGUAAACUGCUUUUAUGCGGGGAUAAAGUUCACUACGUGUAGUGUUUUGUAGGUACCGCAUGAAUAAGGACCGGCUAAUUCCGUGCCAGCCGCUGC